Long non-coding RNA from Alligator sinensis (Chinese alligator), 1797 nucleotides. RefSeq lists it as uncharacterized. Lineage: Eukaryota; Metazoa; Chordata; Crocodylia; Alligatoridae. The transcript is spliced from 4 exons. The record is from RefSeq and is a predicted model, not a curated record.
CAAAUAUAGAACCAAUGCAGUUUUAAUUAGAAGUAUGUUACUACAGAUAUAGUGUGAAAGAUGUGGCAUUUUUUAAAUUUUAGAAUAAAUUAUAACUACAACAUGUAUUAAAAUAUGCUCUUUAUUUUAGAAAUAAUAAUUUAGCACUUUAAAAAAAAAAUAAUACUAAGGAUUGGUAGUGCCCUACUUCCAUUAAGGUUUAAUUAGCAGGUAAGUUUUAAUGUUGGAGGGUGGUUGUUGUUAUCUUCAGAUAUCUACAUACAUUUCUGAACAACUCUGGCACUGGGACUGUUCUGCAUGCUAAAAUCACUUUUUGUUUUUGUUUUUGAGAUUUGAUGGACACUUCUUAUGACUUAAUUAUGGGUAGCUUAAAUACUGUACUGAAAAAAUAUGUAUGGUAAGAUUAUAGUUUUGUCUUACUAAUGACUUAAUAAUGCCCAUCUCUCAAUUUUACUUAUGGUCUCUUCUACUUCUUUCUGAAUAUGAUUAGCAAACUCUACUCCACUAUCCAAGUUAUGGAUUAAAGUGUACACAUCCAACAGUAUUAGAUAUGGGACAGACCCCUGCUGUAUUCUACUCAAUGCUGCCUCACAGUUUGACAGUUAGAAGGAGCCCUUGGAUGGGAGAGCUGGAAGAAAAAUCCAAAGACUGGAGGAAGGUGACCUUUGUAACAACGUUACAUCUUUCUUUCUGAGAUGCUGAAUAUGCUACUCUGAUGGAGGCCAGUGUGAGGAGAAAGGAAAUCGGCACCUUGCUUGAGGAGAGAGGAAGUCACUCAGCAUCUUGCAACUGCAACACAGUGUUUUCCCAUGUCUGCUGGUGGAAACAGCAGUUUCCUUUACAACAUUUCUGAAAACACAACACAGAUGUUUAUAACAGUCCUGUCAAAUGUUCAGUGUGAAAAGUUCCUGCCCAAUACAGAAGUGUGAAAAUGAACUCCCCACCACCAACAGGAUCAAGAUUGUGCCCAACUCCUGCACAGGUACAUCCCUGAGAGACACCUUAAGCCUUCAGCUUAUCCAUAAGACUAAAUCAUGACAAGCAGUGAGGAGUAGGAGGACCUACCUCCUGCUCCUCUGUCCUUCUCAAGUCCCUUUGUAUUACUCUUUGCAAUAAAAGUUUAGAAGUUAAAAAGGAUUUGGGCUGUUUUCCCCCAUCACCUUCCAGCUGCUGCCACAGAAGACUUCAAGCUACCCCUCCCUCUUCCAGCGUUCAAUUCCUACCCUGCCCUUGGGGGCAGUGGCAGGGGUGUGGUACAGCAGUGGGAGCUCACACCAACCACAGUGCUGGUAUCAUGCUGCAAGGGAGUGCUUACUGCACAGUGUGGUGGGGGGGACCCACACUGGUGGGUGGACAUGCGCCAGGGGCUGUGUGGCCCCACAGCCACUCAGAAGUUGGACAGCUCUGGCGUAGGUCCAGGGUAUCUAGAUUAAUUAAAGCUCUGGGAUGAAGACUGCUCAACAAUUUUAUUCUAUUGGCACUACCAAACUUUCUACAGUAAGUAAAGAUCAUCUGUGCAGGAAGCAGAGCUCUUCUUGGUGGCUGUUACAAGAACUAAGAACUAGGGACCAUGAAAGGGCUGGCCAUUUUCUGCUUCUGUCUGGCACAAUGCUUUGACUUGGCCUUCUCUCAGAUAAACUUACAUGUGCACAUAUAAAAUGAGCAUUACAAAAUACAGGUCCAAAACAAAUCAUUUUAUUGCUCACAUUCCUCCCCUAGGCAGAGUAUAAGAGACCUAAUGUAUUGGUACAGCUCUGCCUGAGUCUCUAUGGAUAGUAACCAGCCUGCCAUAUUUGA